RNAcentral lists this ribosomal RNA (453 nucleotides) under uncultured bacterium. RNAcentral's name for it is "bacterial SSU rRNA". It matches the Rfam family "Bacterial small subunit ribosomal RNA", at positions 340 to 786 of the family's 1533-position model. The record is from RNAcentral.
UACGGAAGGCAGCAGUGGGGAAUAUUGCACAAUGGGCGCAAGCCUGAUGCAGCCAUGCCGCGUGUAUGAAGAAGGCCUUCGGGUUGUAAAGUACUUUCAGUCGUGAGGAAGGUGUUAAGGUUAAUAACCUUAGCAAUUGACGUUAGCGACAGAAGAAGCACCGGCUAACUCCGUGCCAGCAGCCGCGGUAAUACGGAGGGUGCGAGCGUUAAUCGGAAUUACUGGGCGUAAAGGGCACGCAGGCGGUUAAUUAAGUUGGAUGUGAAAUCCCCGGGCUUAACCUGGGAAUGGCAUUCAAGACUGGUUAGCUAGAGUCUUGUAGAGGGGGUAGAAUUCCAUGUGUAGCGGUGAAAUGCGUAGAGAUGUGGAGGAAUACCGGUGGCGAAGGCGGCCCCUGGACAAAGACUGACGCUCAUGUGCGAAAGCGUGGGAAGCAAACAGGGAUUAGAUACC